RNAcentral lists this ribosomal RNA (434 nucleotides) under uncultured bacterium. RNAcentral describes it as "bacterial SSU rRNA". It matches the Rfam family "Bacterial small subunit ribosomal RNA", at positions 954 to 1392 of the family's 1533-position model. The record is from RNAcentral.
GCAUAACGCGAAGAACCUUACCCACCUUUGACAUGUACGGAAUUUGCCAGAGAUGGCUUAGUGCUCGAAAGAGAACCGUAACACAGGUGCUGCAUGGCUGUCGUCAGCUCGUGUCGUGAGAUGUUGGGUUAAGUCCCGCAACGAGCGCAACCCUUGCCAUUAGUUGCUACGAAAGGGCACUCUAAUGGGACUGCCGGUGACAAACCGGAGGAAGGUGGGGAUGACGUCAAGUCCUCAUGGCCCUUAUAGGUGGGGCUACACACGUCAUACAAUGGCUGGUACAAAGGGUUGCCAACCCGCGAGGGGGAGCCAAUCCCAUAAAGCCAGUCGUAGUCCGGAUCGCAGUCUGCAACUCGACUGCGUGAAGUCGGAAUCGCUAGUAAUCGUGGAUCAGCAUGUCACGGUGAAUACGUUCCCGGGUCUUGUACACACCG